This 84-nucleotide transfer RNA is filed under the name bacterium. Its description in RNAcentral is "tRNA-Leu". It matches the Rfam family "tRNA". From Rfam's summary of the family: Transfer RNA (tRNA) molecules are approximately 80 nucleotides in length. Their secondary structure includes four short double-helical elements and three loops (D, anti-codon, and T loops). Further hydrogen bonds mediate the characteristic L-shaped molecular structure. tRNAs have two regions of fundamental functional importance: the anti-codon, which is responsible for specific mRNA codon recognition, and the 3' end, to which the tRNAs corresponding amino acid is attached (by aminoacyl-tRNA synthetases). tRNAs cope with the degeneracy of the genetic code in two manners: having more than one tRNA (with a specific anti-codon) for a particular amino acid; and 'wobble' base-pairing, i.e. permitting non-standard base-pairing at the 3rd anti-codon position. The record is from RNAcentral.
GCCCGGGUGGCGGAAUUGGCAGACGCAGUGGACUCAAAAUCCACCGGGGGCAACCCCUUGCGAGUUCGACUCUCGCCCCGGGCA